CCUACGGGCGGCAGCAGUGAGGAAUAUUGGUCAAUGGCCGGAAGGCUGAACCAGCCAUGCCGCGUGAAGGUCAGUGCCCUAUGGGCGUUAAACCUCUUUUGUGCGGGAGCAAUAAUGGUCACGUGUGGCCAGACGAGAGUACCGUACGAAUAAGCAUCGGCUAACUCCGUGCCAGCAGCCGCGGUAAUACGGGGGAUGCAAGCGUUAUCCGGAUUUAUUGGGUUUAAAGGGGGCGGAGGCUGUGAGGUAAGUCAGCGGUGAAAUGCCCCCGCUCAACGGGGGGAAGUGCCAUUGAUACUGGCUUGCUGGAAUGCAGAUGCGGUAGGAGGAAUGUGUGGUGUAGCGGUGAAAUGCAUAGAUAUCAGACAGAACACCGAUUGCGAAGGCAUCUCACGAAUCCGCGAUUGACGCUGAUGCACGAAAGCGUGGGUAUCAAACAGGAUUAGAUACCCCAGUAGUC
RNAcentral lists this ribosomal RNA (460 nucleotides) under uncultured bacterium. Its description in RNAcentral is "partial 16S ribosomal RNA". It matches the Rfam family "Bacterial small subunit ribosomal RNA", at positions 338 to 795 of the family's 1533-position model. The record is from RNAcentral.